RNAcentral lists this transfer RNA (80 nucleotides) under Escherichia coli. RNAcentral describes it as "tRNA-Glu". It matches the Rfam family "tRNA". Rfam says of the family: Transfer RNA (tRNA) molecules are approximately 80 nucleotides in length. Their secondary structure includes four short double-helical elements and three loops (D, anti-codon, and T loops). Lineage: Bacteria; Pseudomonadati; Pseudomonadota; Gammaproteobacteria; Enterobacterales; Enterobacteriaceae. The record is from RNAcentral.
GUCCCCCUUCGUCUAGAGGCCCGGGGACACCGCCCUUUCACGGCGGUAACAGGGGGUUCGAAUCCCCCUAGGGGACGCCA